AAAUUGAAGAGUUUGAUCAUGGCUCAGAUUGAACGCUGGCGGCAGGCCUAACACAUGCAAGUCGAACGGUAACAGAAAGCAGCUUGCUGCUUUGCUGACGAGUGGCGGACGGGUGAGUAAUGUCUGGGAAACUGCCUGAUGGAGGGGGAUAACUACUGGAAACGGUAGCUAAUACCGCAUAAUGUCGCAAGACCAAAGAGGGGGACCUUCGGGCCUCUUGCCAUCGGAUGUGCCCAGAUGGGAUUAGCUUGUUGGUGGGGUAACGGCUCAC
RNAcentral lists this ribosomal RNA (271 nucleotides) under Escherichia coli. RNAcentral describes it as "partial 16S ribosomal RNA". It matches the Rfam family "Bacterial small subunit ribosomal RNA", at positions 1 to 268 of the family's 1533-position model. Lineage: Bacteria; Pseudomonadati; Pseudomonadota; Gammaproteobacteria; Enterobacterales; Enterobacteriaceae. The record is from RNAcentral.